GGUUACUGCUAUCGGUGUCCGCCUAAGCCAUGCGAGUCAUAUGUUCGUAAGAACAUGGCGUACUGCUCAGUAACACGUGGAUAACCUGCCCUUGGUUCCGGCAUAACCCCGGGAAACUGGGGAUAAUUCCGGAUAACGCACAUAUGCUGGAAUGCUUUAUGCGUAAAAUGGAUUCGUCUGCCCAAGGAUGGGUCUGCGGCCUAUCAGGUAGUAGUGGGUGUAAUGUACCUACUAGCCUACGACGGGUACGGGUUGUGAGAGCAAGAGCCCGGAGAUGGAUUCUGAGACACGAAUCCAGGCCCUACGGGGCGCAGCAGGCGCGAAAACUUUACAAUGCGGGAAACCGUGAUAAGGGGACACCGAGUGCCAGCAUCCUAUGCUGGCUGUCCGGGUGUGUAAAAUACACCUGUAGCAAGGGCCGGGCAAGACCGGUCCAGCCGCCGCGGUAACACCGGCGGCCCGAGUGGUGAUCGUGAUUAUUGGGUCUAAAGGGUCCGUAGCCGGUUUGGUCAGUCCUCCGGGAAAUCUGACAGCUUAACUGUUAGGCUUUCGGAGGAUACUGCCAGACUUGGAACCGGGAGAGGUAAGUGGUACUACAGGGGUAGGAGUGAAAUCUUGUAAUCCCUGUGGGACCACCUGUGGCGAAGGCGUCUUA
This 655-nucleotide ribosomal RNA is filed under the name uncultured archaeon. Its description in RNAcentral is "bacterial SSU rRNA". It matches the Rfam family "Archaeal small subunit ribosomal RNA", at positions 21 to 679 of the family's 1478-position model. The record is from RNAcentral.